GUUUUUCGAAUUAUUGUUUUAGGGCCCUGAUUGUUUUUGGUAAAAAACGAUAAUCGAUCGUCUACAUAUUUCUUGACAUAUUUUAAAUAGAUACACGAUGUAAUUAUUCCAAAAUUAUGAGUUUUAUAAAAACUUACUAAGAUAAAGGCAAAAACAUUGUUGGAAUCGCUGAACUAAAUAAACCUCGGCAUUAUUUUAAAUUACAUUAAAAGUAAUUUGUGGAGGCACCAAGAACAGCUGCCUCUAACGACGCUAUAGUCAGUUAAUUAACUCAUUAGCCAAAAUAAAACAUAUUUUUAAAUUAAUAUUUUACUAUUAUCGAUAUCCACUUCAUCCUUAAAGGUAACAGCCCGAAUUUCAUCGAUAGGAAUACAAAGGGCAAGAAAGAGAUGGACGUAUUAGAAUUGCUUAAUGAAAGAAAGGGACUUUUCCAAAAGACAUCAACGAGCGUGAGCGCGGUUCACCAACCACCAAUUUAAAUAGACCCCUGUGGUAUUUCGUAAUAUAAUUAAAUCAAAGCCUAAUUUUGGUAUUGAUACUUGCCGAUGCCAUUCUUUUUGUAACUAGAUGUCCUGGAUUGUUUCCCGCACCAUUUCAUCGC
Long non-coding RNA from Helicoverpa armigera (cotton bollworm), 601 nucleotides. RefSeq lists it as uncharacterized. NCBI's taxonomy places the organism in Eukaryota, Metazoa, Arthropoda, Insecta, Lepidoptera, Noctuidae. The record is from RefSeq and is a predicted model, not a curated record. The transcript has 2 exons.